CAAUCCGAGAAUUUCACCUCCAACGAUUGAAUACUGAUGCCCCCGACUGUCCCUAUUAAUCAUUACGGCGGUCCUAGAAACCAACGAAAUAAGACCACACGUCCUAUUCCAUUAUUCCAUGCUAAUCUAUUCGAGCAUAGGCCUGCCUGGAGCACUCUAAUUUUUUCACAGUAAACGUCCUGUUUCCCCGACACCCCCAGUGAAGGAGAUGCGGUUCCGCAGAAGGUGAAGGCCCGGCCGAACCAGUGCACGCGGUGAGGCGGACCGGUCGGCCGGAGCCCGAGCUUCUACUACGAGCUUUUUAACCACAACAACUUUAAUAUACGCUAUUGGAGCUGGAAUUACCGC
RNAcentral lists this unclassified non-coding RNA (348 nucleotides) under uncultured Plectosphaerella. RNAcentral's name for it is "sequence contains ITS1". The record is from RNAcentral. Lineage: Eukaryota; Fungi; Ascomycota; Sordariomycetes; Glomerellales; Plectosphaerellaceae.